RNAcentral lists this ribosomal RNA (678 nucleotides) under uncultured bacterium. Its description in RNAcentral is "bacterial SSU rRNA". It matches the Rfam family "Bacterial small subunit ribosomal RNA", at positions 153 to 847 of the family's 1533-position model. The record is from RNAcentral.
GAAACGACUGCUAAUACCGCAUAAGCCCACAGCUCGGCAUCGAGCAGAGGGAAAAGGAGCAAUCCGCUUUGAGAUGGCCUCGCGUCCGAUUAGCUAGUUGGUGAGGUAACGGCCCACCAAGGCAACGAUCGGUAGCCGGACUGAGAGGUUGAACGGCCACAUUGGGACUGAGACACGGCCCAGACUCCUACGGGAGGCAGCAGUGGGGAAUAUUGCACAAUGGGGGAAACCCUGAUGCAGCGACGCCGCGUGGAGGAAGAAGGUCUUCGGAUUGUAAACUCCUGUUGUUGGGGAAGAUAAUGACGGUACCCAACAAGGAAGUGACGGCUAACUACGUGCCAGCAGCCGCGGUAAAACGUAGGUCACAAGCGUUGUCCGGAAUUACUGGGUGUAAAGGGAGCGCAGGCGGGAAGACAAGUUGGAAGUGAAAUCUAUGGGCUCAACCCAUAAACUGCUUUCAAAACUGUUUUUCUUGAGUAGUGCAGAGGUAGGCGGAAUUCCCGGUGUAGCGGUGGAAUGCGUAGAUAUCGGGAGGAACACCAGUGGCGAAGGCGGCCUACUGGGCACCAACUGACGCUGAGGCUCGAAAGUGUGGGUAGCAAACAGGAUUAGAUACCCUGGUAGUCCACACCGUAAACGAUGAUUACUAGGUGUUGGAGGAUUGACCCCUUCAGUGCC